This 530-nucleotide ribosomal RNA is filed under the name uncultured eukaryote. RNAcentral describes it as "SSU rRNA". It matches the Rfam family "Eukaryotic small subunit ribosomal RNA", at positions 21 to 549 of the family's 1831-position model. The record is from RNAcentral.
UAGUCAUAUGCUUGUCUCAAAGAUUAAGCCAUGCAUGUCUAAGCACAAGCCGAUUAAUGGUGAAGCCGCGAAUGGCUCAUUACAACAGCCAUAGUUUCUUAGAUCUCACUUUUCUACUUGGAUAACUGUGGUAAUUCUAGAGCUAAUACACGCAAACAAGCUCAGACCUUACGGAAUGAGCGCAUUUAUUAGAACAAAAACCAAUCGGGCUUCGGCCCGUCAUUUGGUGAAUCUGAAUAACUUUGCUGAUCGCACGGUCAUCGUACCGGCGACGUAUCUUUCAAAUGUCUGCCUUAUCAACUUUCGAUGGUAGUUUAUGCGCCUACCAUGGUUGUAACGGGUAACGGAGAAUAAGGGUUCGACUCCGGAGAGGGAGCCUGAGAAAUGGCUACCACAUCCAAGGAAGGCAGCAGGCACGCAAAUUACCCACUCCCGGCACGGGGAGGUAGUGACGAAAAAUAACGAGACGGCUCGCUAUGCGGUCCGUCAUCGGAAUGGGUACAAUUUAAAUCCUUUAACGAGGAUCUAUU